RNAcentral lists this ribosomal RNA (460 nucleotides) under uncultured bacterium. RNAcentral describes it as "partial 16S ribosomal RNA". It matches the Rfam family "Bacterial small subunit ribosomal RNA", at positions 338 to 795 of the family's 1533-position model. The record is from RNAcentral.
CCUACGGGAGUCAGCAGUGAGGAAUAUUGGUCAAUGGACGAGAGUCUGAACCAGCCAAGUAGCGUGAAGGAUGACUGCCCUAUGGGUUGUAAACUUCUUUUAUAUGGGAAUAACAUGUUCCACUUGUGGGAUUUUGUAUGUACCAUAUGAAUAAGGAUCGGCUAACUCCGUGCCAGCAGCCGCGGUAAUACGGAGGAUCCGCGCGUUAUCCGGAUUUAUUGGGUUUAAAGGGAGCGUAGGUGGAUUGUUAAGUCAGUUGUGAACGUUUGCGGCUCAACCGUAAAAUUGCAGUUGAAACUGGCAGUCUGGAGUACAGUAGAGGUGGGCGGAAUUCGUGGUGUAGCGGUGAAAUGCUUAGAUAUCACGAAGAACUCCGAUUGCGAAGGCAGCUCACUGGACUGCAACUGACACUGAGGCUCGAAAGUGUGGGUAUCAAACAGGAUUAGAUACCCGAGUAGUC